CGUAGGUAACCUGCCUCUUAGCGGGGGGUAACUAUUGGAAACGAUAGCUAAUACCGCAUAAAAGUCGAUAUCGCAUGAUAUUGAUUUGAAAGGUGCAAUUGCAUCACUAAGAGAUGGACCUGCGUUGUAUUAGCUAGUUGGUGAGGUAACGGCUCACCAAGGCGACGAUACAUAGCCGACCUGAGAGGGUGAUCGGCCACACUGGGACUGAGACACGGCCCGG
This 223-nucleotide ribosomal RNA is filed under the name uncultured bacterium. Its description in RNAcentral is "partial 16S ribosomal RNA". It matches the Rfam family "Bacterial small subunit ribosomal RNA", at positions 116 to 334 of the family's 1533-position model. The record is from RNAcentral.